CCGCGCUAGAUGGGGCGCUCCCGGUGCCCUGAACUCGAAACCCGGGUCAUGCGAGGUCGAAUUCCCGCCCGAGGGCGUUUUAUCCUUUAGUCAGGUUCGAGGCACGUGGUGUUGACGGCUGGGUCCUACUCAACGGGGUGCUGCCGAACCCGGUCAGGUCUUGACGGAAGCAGCCGUAGGUGGUUUUCCUCGUGUGCUGUAGGAGCGCCUGGCCCGAGCUAACGACCUCGAGGCCGUUCUGGGUACGCGUUCGACGGCGGGUGCGCGG
RNAcentral lists this signal recognition particle RNA (268 nucleotides) under Candidatus Hydrogenedentota bacterium. RNAcentral describes it as "Hydrogenedentota bacterium Bacterial large signal recognition particle RNA". It matches the Rfam family "Bacterial large signal recognition particle RNA". Rfam says of the family: The signal recognition particle (SRP) is a universally conserved ribonucleoprotein involved in the co-translational targeting of proteins to membranes. Archaeal SRP consists of a 7S RNA and homologues of the eukaryotic SRP19 and SRP54 proteins. Lineage: Bacteria; Pseudomonadati; Candidatus Hydrogenedentota. The record is from Rfam by way of RNAcentral.